This 328-nucleotide ribosomal RNA is filed under the name uncultured bacterium. RNAcentral's name for it is "bacterial SSU rRNA". It matches the Rfam family "Bacterial small subunit ribosomal RNA", at positions 471 to 793 of the family's 1533-position model. The record is from RNAcentral.
GACGUUACCUACAGAAGAAGCACCGGCUAACUCCGUGCCAGCAGCCGCGGUAAUACGGAGGGUGCGAGCGUUAAUCGGAAUUACUGGGCGUAAAAGCGCAUGCAGGCGGCCUGUUAAAGUCAGAUGUGAAAAGCCCGGGCUUAAACCUCGGAAAUUGCUAUUUGAAAACUGGCAGGCUAGAGUCUUGUAGAGGGGGUAGAAUUUCAGGUGUAGCGGUGAAAAUGCGUAGAGAUCUGAAGGAAUACCAGUGGCGAAGGCGGCCCCUGGACAAAGACUGACGCUCAGAUGCGAAAGCGUGGGGAGCAAACAGGUUUAGAUACCCUGGUAG